This 262-nucleotide ribosomal RNA is filed under the name uncultured prokaryote. RNAcentral describes it as "partial 16S ribosomal RNA". It matches the Rfam family "Bacterial small subunit ribosomal RNA", at positions 524 to 784 of the family's 1533-position model. The record is from RNAcentral.
UACGGAGGAUGCGAGCGUUAUCCGGAUUUAUUGGGUUUAAAGGGUGCGUAGGCGGCCAUUUAAGUCAGCGGUGAAAUUUUGCAGCUUAACUGUAACAGUGCCGUUGAUACUGUUUGGCUAGGAUUUGGUUGUAGUGUGCGGAAUGUGUGGUGUAGCGGUGAAAUGCAUAGAUAUCACGAGGAACUCCGAUUGCGCAGGCAGCUUACUAAACCAUAACUGACGCUCAGGUACGAAGGCGUGGGGAGUCAAACAGGAUUAGAUA